AAACCCACAAAAGCCUAAACAUGCAUAUCUACCCAUACUCAAACAUUAAAACCUUCAUAAAACUUCAUAAAAACACUAGGGAAGCAAAGAUCUACACUUACCUCUUGAAGAUUGAGGGUGGUGUGAUCUCUAACUCGGAGGUGUGGAGAAUCCAAGCUCCAAAAGCUCCAAGCUCCCAAAACUUGAUCCAAGCUUUAAAACUCUUCAAAA
RNAcentral lists this long non-coding RNA (210 nucleotides) under Manihot esculenta (cassava). Its description in RNAcentral is "long non-coding RNA (MESC_LNC008042)". Lineage: Eukaryota; Viridiplantae; Streptophyta; Magnoliopsida; Malpighiales; Euphorbiaceae. The record is from RNAcentral.